This 551-nucleotide ribosomal RNA is filed under the name uncultured bacterium. Its description in RNAcentral is "partial 16S ribosomal RNA". It matches the Rfam family "Bacterial small subunit ribosomal RNA", at positions 355 to 893 of the family's 1533-position model. The record is from RNAcentral.
UGAGGAAUAUUGCGCAAUGGGCGAAAGCCUGACGCAGCGACGCCGCGUGGAGGAUGAAGGUUUUCGGAUUGUAAACUCCUGUUAAGUGGGAAGAAACGACAAAAUAUAAUACAUUUUUGUAACUGACGGCACCAUUAAAGAAAGCACCGGCUAACUUCGUGCCAGCAGCCGCGGUAAUACGAGGGGUGCAAGCGUUAUUCGGAAUUAUUGGGCGUAAAGGGUGCGUAGGCGGCGUAUUAAGUCAACUGUUAAAACCUCCAGCCUAACUGGAGAUCAGCAGUAGAUACUGGUAUGCUAGAGGAUGGAAGAGAGAAGUGGAAUUCUUGGAGUAGCGGUGGAAUGCGUAGAUCUCAAGAGGAACACCAAUGGCGAAGGCAGCUUCUUGGUCCAUAUCUGACGCCGAUGCACGAAAGCGUGGGGAGCAAAACAGGAUUAGAUACCCUGGUAGUCCACGCCGUAAAACGAUGAUCACUAGAUGUUAAUUCUGCUUGCAGAAUUAGUGUCGUAGCUAACGCGAUAAGUGAUCCGCCUGGGGGACUACGGUCGCAAGA